GGGCGUAAAGCGCAUGCAGGUGGUUUGUUAAGUCAGAUGUGAAAGCCCGGGGCUCAACCUCGGAAUUGCAUUUGAAACUGGCAGACUAGAGUACUGUAGAGGGGGGUAGAAUUUCAGGUGUAGCGGUGAAAUGCGUAGAGAUCUGAAGGAAUACCGGUGGCGAAGGCGGCCCCCUGGACAGAUACUGACACUCAGAUGCGAAAGCGUGGGGAGCAAACAGGAUUAGAUACCCUGGUAGUCCACGCCGUAAACGAUGUCUACUUGGAGGUUGUGGCCUUGAGCCGUGGCUUUCGGAGCUAACGCGUUAAGUAGACCGCCUGGGGAGUACGGUCGCAAGAUUAAAACUCAAAUGAAUUGACGGGGGCCCGCACAAGCGGUGGAGCAUGUGGUUUAAUUCGAUGCAACGCGAAGAACCUUACCUACUCUUGACAUCCAGAGAACUUUUCAGAGAUGGAUUGGUGCCUUCGGGAACUCUGAGACAGGUGCUGCAUGGCUGUCGUCAGCUCGUGUUGUGAAAUGUUGGGUUAAGUCCCGCAACGAGCGCAACCCUUAUCCUUGUUUGCCAGCACUUCGGGUGGGAACUCCAGGGAGACUGCCGGUGAUAAACCGGAGGAAGGUGGGGACGACGUCAAGUCAUCAUGGCCCUUACGAGUAGGGCUACACACGUGCUACAAUGGCGCAUACAGAGGGCGGCCAACUUGCGAAAGUGAGCGAAUCCCAAAAAGUGCGUCGUAGUCCGGAUCGGAGUCUGCAACUCGACUCCGUGAAGUCGGAAUCGCUAGUAAUCGUGGAUCAGAAUGCCACGGUGAAUACGUUCCCGGGCCUUGUACACACCGCCCGUCACACCAUGGGAGUGGGCUGCAAAAGAAGUGGGUAGUUU
Molecule: ribosomal RNA, 880 nt
Filed under: Vibrio brasiliensis
Lineage: Bacteria; Pseudomonadati; Pseudomonadota; Gammaproteobacteria; Vibrionales; Vibrionaceae
Description: bacterial SSU rRNA
Rfam family: Bacterial small subunit ribosomal RNA
Source: RNAcentral